This 495-nucleotide ribosomal RNA is filed under the name uncultured bacterium. RNAcentral's name for it is "partial 16S ribosomal RNA". It matches the Rfam family "Bacterial small subunit ribosomal RNA", at positions 28 to 507 of the family's 1533-position model. The record is from RNAcentral.
GACGAACGCUGGCGGCGUGCCUAAUACAUGCAAGUCGAACGCUGAAGGAGGAGCUUGCUUCUCCGGAUGAGUUGCGAACGGGUGAGUAACGCGUAGGUAACCUGCCUGGUAGCGGGGGAUAACUAUUGGAAACGAUAGCUAAUACCGCAUAAGAGUAGAUGUCGCAUGACAUUUGCUUAAAAGGUGCAACUGCACCACUACCAGAUGGACCUGCGUUGUAUUAGCUAGUUGGUGAGGUAACGGCUCACCAAGGCAACGAUACAUAGCCGACCUGAGAGGGGGAUCGGCCACACUGGGACUGAGACACGGCCCAGACUGCUACGGGAGGCAGCAGUAGUGAAUCUGCGGCAAUGGACGGAAGUCUGACCGAGCAACGCCGCGUGAGUGAAGAAGGUUUUCGGAUCGUAAAGCUCUGUUGUAAGGGAAGAACGAGUGUGAGAGUGGAAAGUUCACACUGUGACGGUAUCUGACCAGAAAGGGACGGCUAACUACGUG